Pelobates cultripes (western spadefoot toad) is the source of this 355-nucleotide non-coding RNA. The record is from the annotation of a GenBank genome assembly. Lineage: Eukaryota; Metazoa; Chordata; Amphibia; Anura; Pelobatidae.
CUAUACCAGUCUAAAUUUACAGGAGCUUCUCGUUCACCUUCAGACAGCUGACGGGUGACAUUGUGAACUGAGCACAGUUGAUGUGACCCAUGAAGAAACCAUUGGAUGUGCCUGGACAUUUCUAGUAAUUGGAGUUUGUGGAGAAUUUGUCUGGAGCACCCUGUGGUAGUAAUCCCCUGCAGCAAGUUUUUUGUGUAUACACAUUAAAUGUCAAGACCAAUAUAACUGGAACUUUAACUUUAACUGCAUCGUUGUGAUUCUAGUCCAGAAUCUCAUGGUAAACAUUAAUUGCAGAAGCAACGAAGGAAGCGCCUUGCAAGGGCACGAAACGCGUUAGCAUCUCUUUUCCUUUGCC